GAGCACGCGAUCGAUCAGUUGAU
RNAcentral lists this non-coding RNA (23 nucleotides) under Arabidopsis thaliana (thale cress). The record is from RNAcentral. Lineage: Eukaryota; Viridiplantae; Streptophyta; Magnoliopsida; Brassicales; Brassicaceae.